Molecule: ribosomal RNA, 460 nt
Filed under: uncultured bacterium
Lineage: Bacteria
Description: partial 16S ribosomal RNA
Rfam family: Bacterial small subunit ribosomal RNA
Source: RNAcentral
CCUACGGGAGGCUGCAGUGAGGAAUAUUGGUCAAUGGGCGAGAGCCUGAACCAGCCAAGUCGCGUGAAGGAUGACGGCCCUACGGGUUGUAAACUUCUUUUGUCAGGGAGCAAUUGAGUCCACGUGUGGGCUUAGCGAGAGUACCUGAAGAAAAAGCAUCGGCUAACUCCGUGCCAGCAGCGGCGGUAAUACGGAGGAUGCGAUCUUUAUCCGGAUUUAUUGGGUUUAAAGGGUGUGUAGGCGGAAUAUCAAGUCAGCGGGAAAAAUUCGGGGCUCAACCCCGUCGUGCCGUUGAAACUGAUGUUCUUGAGUGGGCGAGAAGUAUGCGGAAUGCGUGGUGUAGCGGUGAAAUGCAUAGAUAUCACGCAGAACUCCGAUUGCGAAGGCAGCAUACCGGCGCCCAACUGACGCUGAAGCACGAAAGCGUGGGUAUCGAACAGGAUUAGAUACCCUGGUAGUC